UCUACGUUUGAAUACAUAACAUUUAUUAAACUAUAUUAUAAUUAGCCACAUAGUGAUAGUUUCACUCUGUAAUUAGCCACAUAGUGAUAGUUUCACUCUUUUUUUAGGAAGAAAUAAAACUGGUGCUAGAACUGAUUCUAAUCCAACAAUUGAUACCAGAUGCAAAGCAAGAUUAAAUAGAUAAGGUUCUGAAUUGAAGAUGUGCAUUCUCAAGUAUAAUCACAGGAAAAUGAUAAAGUGAUGUCAGGUAGUCGAGUUUUGGUCAUUACUAUAUGGGUCCUCGAGUUUUGAUUCCAAGAUUAUCAAUGACACCUUCUGAUCCUCGAUUGCCUUUUAAGUUUGAAAUGAGACAAUUCAACUCAUGUUGUCUUAUGCAAUGAUGAUAAAUAAAAGUCAUGGCCAAAGUCUGUCUACCGUUGGACUAUUUUUAAAGAAACGUGUUUGUUGUUCAUGGUCAACUUUAUGUGGUGCUAUCGAGAGUGAACAACCCCAUUGGUCUUAAAGUUGUUAUUCUUAAUGAGAAUGGAGAUUAUUGUUCUUCAACGUCAAAUGUUGUAUACAAGGAAAUAUUUAAGAAUUUUUAAGUUUAAUAUGUAAUGGAAUAUUAUCAUCUUAAUUGUAGUCAAUAAUGUGUUUAUAUAUUGUGCUAUAAAUAUCAUUAUCCACCUUUAUUAUUGUGUGUUA
Molecule: long non-coding RNA, 684 nt
Organism: Ipomoea triloba (trilobed morning glory)
Lineage: Eukaryota; Viridiplantae; Streptophyta; Magnoliopsida; Solanales; Convolvulaceae
Exons: 3
Source: RefSeq, a predicted model, not a curated record